UUAGAGUUUGAUCCCUGGCUCAGAUUGAACGCUGGCGGCAUGCCUAACACAUGCAAGUUCGAACGGCAGCGCGGACUUCGGUCUGGCGGCGAGUGGCGGACGGGUGAGGAACACAUAGGAAUCUACCCAGUUGUGGGGGAUAACCCGGGGAAACUCGGACUAAUACCGCAUACGACGGAGACGUGAAAGCCGGGGACCUUCGGGCCUGGCGCGGCUGGAUGAGCCUAUGUCGGAUUAGCUAGUUGGUGGGGUAAAGGCCUACCAAGGCGACGAUCCGUAGCUGGUCUGAGAGGAUGAUCAGCCACACCGGGACUGAGACACGGACCGGACUCCUACGGGAGGCAGCAGUGGGGAAUAUUGGACAAUGGGCGCAAGCCUGAUCCAGCAAUGCCGCGUGGGUGAAGAAGGCCUUCGGGUUGUAAAGCCCUUUUGUACGGGAAGAAAGCUUUCGGGUUAAUACCCUGGGAGGAUGACGGUACCGUAAGAAUAAGCACCGGCUAACUUCGUGCCAGCAGCCGGCGGUAAUUCAA
Molecule: ribosomal RNA, 530 nt
Filed under: uncultured bacterium
Lineage: Bacteria
Description: bacterial SSU rRNA
Rfam family: Bacterial small subunit ribosomal RNA
Source: RNAcentral